Long non-coding RNA from Coregonus clupeaformis (lake whitefish), 250 nucleotides. RefSeq lists it as uncharacterized. NCBI's taxonomy places the organism in Eukaryota, Metazoa, Chordata, Actinopteri, Salmoniformes, Salmonidae. The transcript is spliced from 3 exons. The record is from RefSeq and is a predicted model, not a curated record.
CCCAUGGGUAAAGGGGUGCUGCCUGACGAUCACCCCAACUGUGUUGCUGCUGCCCGCUCCAGAGCUCUGCUCCAGUCUGAUGUUGUGGUCCUACUUGGUGCCAGACUCAACUGGAUCCUGCACUUUGGCCUUCCCCCCAGGUCAAUGUCAAGGUUGAUCUGUGUGCUGAGGAGAUGGGGAACAACGUGCAACCUGCUGCUGCUCUCCUGGGGGACAUCAAUACUAUUGUCAAGCAGGUAACACAACACAG